Molecule: long non-coding RNA, 18361 nt
Filed under: Triticum aestivum (bread wheat)
Lineage: Eukaryota; Viridiplantae; Streptophyta; Magnoliopsida; Poales; Poaceae
Description: long non-coding RNA (TAES_LNC013803)
Source: RNAcentral
GAUUUUAAAAGUGCAUAUGUGUACAGAGUUUUGCAAUUAAUAAUAUUUGUAUAACACAUAAAGAGAAGCUCGCUCUCAUGAUCUUGAAGCAACUAAUGGCUUGAAGGACGAAGGAAGCUCGCACACCGGCCCAUAUGGUCACUUUAGGCAGCUCGUCGUUAUUCUUACUGGUUACCUCCCAAGACUCCCUUCUUCUCUGAAGCUGAGCGCUUCUUCUUCCUGCUCUUUGAGUUGUCAUCAUCGUCGUCAUGGUCAGAGUCGUGGUCGGAGUGGGAAUCAUGGUCGGAGUCUGAAUCAGAAUCGUGGUCGGUGUCGGAUCGUCCAGACUAAGAUGUACUCACCCGUUGCAAUUUUCCACCUACAGUGUACGCAAUUAACCGCUCCUGCCAGGGUUACCCGUGCACAUGCUACAUAGCCAUUCUUCCUCUUCUUGCUUCUUUGGCCAAAUAUGUUCUCUGCUCCAGUAACACCCAGGCGUGCACCUUGUACAGGGUUGCUCCAGCCUUGCCAUCUUAACGAGUAUAUAUGGUCAUGCCUUCCCCUCCUCCGAUCCAGUGGAAAAAUCAUUUCUGAGUAAUACAUUUGCGACGGAAGAAGUGGACUGUGAACAUCUGCAAUAGCAUGAUGACUAGCAUAAGACACUGAAUACUUUUCAGAUACAUAGUUGCACAUGGCAGCUAAAAUUUUCGUUUUUGUUGCAAAGCUUAGGGACGCAAACUCGGGCACGACUACACACUCGAACGCGUGGCUGGCGAACUUCUAUAAUUACAGAGGCCAUGGAUAAAUAAUGUGUCACUCCACUACAUCUACAGUUGAAGCAAGUACAAAGGGAAACUGAAUUUCCUGUUCCACUGAUGUUCACAUCCACCUGCAAUCUCAUGUAUAUACGCACAAAACAUAGGUUGUUUUCAGAAAACCAGCAAAACUGAAGCAAGGGGUCUGUUCUGUUCAUAAAACAUAUUUUUCACAAGAUAUUGAAACGACACAUGAAACACCGAUGCAGCAGAGAUAUAUCCGGGCAGGAAAAAACGUUACACUUCUACAAGAAAGAAGAAAAACAUCUUCCUAAAUCGCUACAAGAUGAACCGACUACAAGACGUAUGUAGUACAGAAUUACCAGGGGCGACAAAACAAAGUCUCCUUAGGCUAGAAUAACAAGAUGCCAACAACCAUGAACCCCCAGCCUGCCAAAGAAAAACAAACAUUAACGGGCCUGAUCAGUUAAGUUACUGCAAGAGAGACCAAGCAAGAAUUAUGUCAGUACAAGAUGCUUCGGACCAUGAGCCAGUUAAAUGACUGUGUGCGCUAAAAACCUGUAAUCAUGAAUAGAUGACUGUGUGUGCUCUGGCUAGCCAGAAAUGGGACCUGGCACUAUAUGUACACAAAGCUACCCUAUGUGAACAAAAGAAGCUUAUGUUUUUUUUAGCCAGAGUAGGCCUACUUGGCUAAAGUAUCCAAAUACUCUUCUCAUGAUAGCAUGAAGUGUCCUUAAUUUAGCACAAUAUCCAAAAGAAUUGCUGUAGGCCAACUGUCUUCCGCUAAACGUUGAAAUUGUAGGUCAACUGAAUAUACCCGCCACUGUGUUUGUUUUAGGGGAAUAAGUAUGUUUCCUACUCAUCAUGUUGUUUUAGGAAAUGGGCGAUCUCUGAAUUUCCGCCCAAAAUAUAAUAGCGUCAAACACGUGCAUAAUUUGGAAGAUCCUACACAAAGGGUACAUAACCACUUACCAGUCAGCAGUAAACCCAUGCCUGUUGCCAAAAACGAAGCAUGCUUAUUACAUUCACUGUAAAAAGCAAGUGGUAGUUCUAGUGCCAUAUGACUCAGCAAAACAAGGCCAGAUGAUCACUUGCACAUCGAUGUCCCGAUUAGUCAAGCAUAAGAAUAUCUGCUGAAACUACCUCUGAUUUGCUACAGUGCUACCCAUGUGUGCAAAUUAUACAGAGUUGCUCCAGCCUUGCAAUCUCUGAGCUUUCACCUGAAUAGAGUUGCUCCAGCAUAGCUGACUCUCUAGCUUCCGAGAUCGUUUUCAGGUAAAUCAUUUUUGCAAGAAAAAAAAUGCCUGUUGCAAAAAAUCAUUUCCGAGUCAUAAAUUUUGAUGGAAGAAAUGCACUGUGAGCAUCUGCAAUAACAUAAAUACGUCGACAUCUAAAAAAAAAAAUCCUUUUUCAGGUGAUACGAUCUUUUCAGGUAAAUGAGGAGACACUAAACAGGUGAUACACUCUAUUCAGACAGUUGCACAAGACAGCAGAAAAAAUGCUCUUUCUUGCAAAGCUAGGGGCGCAAAUGUGGGCAAGACUGCACGCUCAAAUGCGUAGCUGGCAAACUUCUAUAAUUGCAAAUACCAGAACGAAUGUGUGAGUCCACCCACAGAGUUUGACCUAACAUUUUUAAGAAACAAGCGCAAGGUCCCUUUGUACAUCCAGUCAGGGCUUAAUGACGUUCUUCUGAAACCCAAAGGAAAAUAAAUUGUGUCCUUAAUGAGCUGAUCUGUCCGUGUUUUUAACUUAUCCAGUUAUAGUUUACAUGGUCAAACAAUAGAUGAUGCAAGCCCAAAGGGAAGACCAUGGAAAUUCCUGCACCACUGAUGUUCACAUUUACCUGCAACCUAUACGCACAAAGAUAGGUUCGGUUUUUUUUAAACAAGAUAACAUACUAAAACCGGAAAAAGGGGUUUGUUCUGUUCAUAAAGUAUGCAAUCCAACUAACAUUGUACCAGCAACCAGCACAUUCAAACAAGAAAACCCAGCAGUCACACCUAAAAGAACAGUAAAUGCUAUUCUAUUUGCUGAGAAAGGCUAGUCCAUCAUAGUUCAGAUGAUAACAACCACAACCCAACAUUUUCAAACUUCCUAGUAAAUAUAUCUCCUUGACUACUUCCAAGGUUCCCACUUUCCCAGUAGCUUCCUGUGGGAAAAUGGCCACAAAUAAUAUGCUUGACUGACUCUGCCUCUCCCGGGAGGUCUGAUUUGCAUUGUCCAAAGGCAACCCAUCCACUGCUUUGCUUCCAUUAUCCCAGCUCCAUAGUUCGCUAUAGCAAUGGAUCCCCUUCCCAUACACACAAUCAUCUGCCUUGUUUGUUGGUCAUUUUGGUUAUUCCCAUUGUGUGCAUCAUCCAGCAGCCGCCUUCUUCCCGACAAGCCGCUUUCUGCUGGAAGCACCAUCACCUCCGACGACGGCACUUUCGCCCUGGGAUUCUUCUCCCCGUCCAGCUCCGGCAAAAAACAUUACUACGUCGGAAUAUGGUACAAGAACAUACCCAAAGACAAUGUUGUGUGGGUUGCCAACCGUGCUAUGCCAAUCGCUAAUCCUUCUUCUGCAACACUGGCCUUCACAAACGGAUCCAAUCUGGCCCUGUCAGACACCAACGGCCAGCUUCUCUGGAUGUCAGAUAUCAGCGCCGCAGGAAAUUCAUCGUCAGAGGCAACUGGUGGAGAAGCCACGCUUGAUAACAAUGGGAAUUUUAUCCUUCGGUCAUCACAGGGCAUCAUCUUAUGGCAAAGCUUCGAUUACCCGACCGACACUCUCCUUCCAGGUAUGAACCUCAGGAUCACCCACAAGACGCAUGCACUACAACAGCUCGUCUCUUGGAGAAACACCCAAGACCCAUCCACGCGCAACUUCUCAUAUGGUGCACACCCUGAUGAGUUUCUGCGGCGUUUUUCAUGGAAUGGUUCGACACCAUACUGGCAAAGUCCAGAGUGGAAUAACUAUUUGUUAGUAGGGCGGUACGUCGAGAGUGUCAGAUCCACAAUUCACUUCACACUGAAUACUAUUGAUGAUGAGGCGUACAUUUCCUUUGGACUACCAGAACCAAGUGUCUCCUUAGUGCUACUGAAGAUGGACUACUCAGGCAAGAUGAAGUUACGAACCUGGAAUAGCAACAUGUCCAAAUGGACUGACCUGCGUGUUGGAAAUAUGCCCUAGAGGCAAUAAUAAAUGGUUAUUAUUAUAUUUCUGUGUUCAUGAUAAUAGUCUAUUAUUCAUGCUAUAAGUGUAUUGUCCGGAAAUCGUAAUACAUGUGUGAAUACAUAGACCACAACUUGUCCCUAGUAAGCCUCUAGUUGACUAGCUCGUUGAUCAACAGAUAGUCAUGGUUUCCUGACUAUGGACAUAGGAUGUCAUUGAUAACGGGAUCACAUCAUUAGGAGAAUGAUGUGAUGGACAAGACCCAACUUAAGCAUAGCAUAAAAGAUCGUGUAGUUUCGUUUGCUAGAGCUUUUCCAAUGUCAAGUAUCUUUUCCUUAGACUAUGAGAUCGUGCAACUCCCGGAUACCGUAGGAGUGCUUUGGGUGUGCCAAACGUCACAACGUAACUGGGUGACUAUAAAGGUGCAUUACGGGUAUCUCCGAAAGUGUCUGUUGGGUUGGCACGGAUCGAGACUGGGAUUUGUCACUCCGUGUGACGGAGAGGUAUCUCUGGGCCCACUCGGUAAUGCAUCAUCAUAAUGAGCUCAAUGUGACUAAGGCGUUAGUCACGGGAUCAUGCAUUGCGGUACGAGUAAAGAGACUUGCCGGUAACGAGAUUGAACUAGGUAUUGGGAUACCGACGAUCGAAUCUCGGGCAAGUAACAUACCGAUUGACAAAGGGAAUUGUAUACGGAUUGAUUGAAUCCUCGACACCGUGGUUCACCCGAUGAUAUCAUCGUGGAACAUGUGGGAGCCAACAUGGGUAUCCAGAUCCCGCUGUUGGUUAUUGACCGGAGAGGCGUCUCGGUCAUGUCUGCAUGUCUCCCGAACCCGUAGGGUCUACACACUUAAGGUCCGGUGACGCUAGGGUUGUAGAGAUACAUGUAUGCGGAAACCCGAAAGUUGUUCGGAGUCCCGGAUGAGAUCCCGGACGUCACGAGAGGUUCCGGAAUGGUCCGGAGGUGAAGAAUUAUAGGAAGUCCAGUUUCGGCCACCGGAAAAGUUUCGGGGGUUAUUGGUAUUGUACCGGGACCACCGGAAGGGUCCCGGGGGUCCACCGGGUGGGGCCACCUGUCCCGGAGGGCCCCGUGGGCUGAAAGUGGAGGGGAACCAGCCCCUAGUGGGCUGGGGCGCCCCUAGGGUUGGGAACCCUAGGGGGGGAGUUCCCCCUUGCCUUGGGGGGCAAGGCAACCCCUUCCCUCCUUGGCCGCCGCCCCCCCUUGGAGAUCCCAUCUCCUAGGGCUGGCGCACCCCCCCAGGGGCCUAUAUAAAGGGGGGGGAGGGCAGUACACUACAGCCUUUGGCGCCUCCCUCCUCCCCUGCAACACCUCUCUCUCUCUCGCAGAAGCUCGGCGAAGCCCUGCCGGAGAGCCGCUACAUCCACCACCACGCCGUCGUGCUGUUGGAUCUCCAUCAACCUCUCCUUCCCCCUUGCUGGAUCAAGAAAGGAGGAGACGUCGCUGCACCGUACGUGUGUUGAACGCGGAGGUGCUGUACGUUCGGCACUCGGUCAUCGGUGAUUUGGAUCACGGCGAGUACGACUCCGUCAUCCACGUUCAUUGGAACGCUUCCGCUCGCGAUCUACAACGGUAUGUAGAUGCACUCCCUUCCCCUCGUUGCUAGUAGACUCCAUAGAUGCAUCUUGGUGAGCGUAAGAAAAUUUUAAAAUUAUGCUACGAUUCCUAACAGUGGCAUCAUGAGCCAGGUCUAUGCGUAGUUACUAUGCACGAGUAGAACACAAAGUAGUUGUGGGCGUUGAGUUUGCCAAUUCUUCUUACCGCUACUAGUCUUUUCUUGUUUCGGCGGCAUUGUAGGAUGAAGCGGCCCGGACCGACCUUACACGUACUCUUACGUGAGACAGGUUCCACCGACUAACAUGCACAAGUUGCAUAAGGUGGCUAGCGGGUGUCUGUCUCUCCUACUUUAGUCGGAACAGAUUCGAUGAAAAGGGUCCUUAUGAAGGGUAAAUAGAAAUUGGCAAAUCACGUUGUGGUCAUACGUAGGUAAGAAACGUUCUUGCUAGAAACCUACAAACCACGUAAAAACUUGCAACAACAAUUAGAGGACGUCUAACUUGUUUUUGCAGCAAGUGCUAUGUGAUGUGAUAUGGCCAGAAGAUGUGAUGAAUGAUAUAUGUGAUGUAUGAGAUUGAUCAUAUUCUUGUAAUAGGAAUCACGACUUGCAUGUCGAUGAGUAUGACAACCGGCAGGAGCCAUAGGAGUUGUCUUUAUUAUUUUGUAUGACCUGCGUGUCAUUGAAUAACGCCAUGUAAUUUACUUUACUUUAUUGCUAAACACGUUAGCUAUAGAAGUAGAAGUAAUCGUUGGCGUGACGACUUCAUGAAGACACAAUGAUGGAGAUCAUGAUGAUCGAGAUCAUGGUGUCAUGCCGGUGACAAAGAUGAUCAUGGUGCCCCGAAGAUGGAGAUCAAAGGAGCAUAAUGAUAUUGGCCAUAUCAUGUCACUAUUUGAUUGCAUGUGAUGUUUAUCAUAUUUUUGCAUCUUAUUUGCUUAGAACGACGGCAGCAAGUAGGAUGAUCCCUUAUAAUAAUUUCAAGAAAGUGUUCACCCUAACUGUGCACCGUUGCGAAGGUUCGUCGUGUCGAAGCACCACGUGAUGAUCGGGUGUGAUAGAUUCUUACGUUCGAAUACAACGGGUGUUGAUGAGCCUAGCAUGUACAGACAUGGCCUCGGAACACACGCAAUACACUUAGGUUGACUUGACGAGCCUAGCAUGUACAGACAUGGCCUCGGAACACGGAGGACCGAAAGGUCGAGCAUGAGUCGUAUAGAAGAUACGAUCAACAUGAAGAUGUUCACCGAUCUUGACUAGUCCGUCUCACGUGAUGAUCGGACACGGCCUAGUUGAGCUCGGAUCAUGUUUCACUUAGAUGACUAGAGGGAUGUCUGUCUGAGUGGGAGUUCAUUAAUAAUUUGAUUAGAUGAACUCAAUUAUCAUGAACUUAGUCUAAAAUCUUUACACUAUGUCUUGUAGAUCAAAUGGCCAACGUUGUCCUCAAUUUCAACGCGUUCCUAGAGAAAACCAAGCUGAAAGAUGAUGGCAGCAACUAUACGGACUGGGUCCGGAACCUAAGGCUCAUCCUUAUAGUAGCCAAGAAAGAUUAUGUCUUAGAAGCACCGCUAGGUGAUGCACCAAUCCCACAGAACCAAGACGUUAUGAACGCUUGGCAAUCACGUGCUGAUGAUUACUCCCUCGUUCAGUGCGGCAUGCUUUACAGCCUAGAACCGGGUCUCCAAAAGCGUUUUGAGAAACAUGGAGCAUAUGAGAUGUUCGAGGAGCUGAAACUAGUUUUUCAAGCUCAUGCCCGGGUCGAGAGAUAUGAUGUCUCCGACAAGUUCUUCAGCUGUAAAAUGGAGGAGAACAGUUCUGUUAGUGAGCACAUACUCAGAAUGUCUGGGUUGCACAACCGCUUGUCUCAGCUGGGAGUUAAUCUCCCGGAUGACGCGGUCAUUGACAGAAUCCUCCAGUCGCUUCCACCAAGCUACAAGAGCUUUGUGAUGAACUACAAUAUGCAGGGGAUGGAAAAGACCAUUCCCGAGGUAUAUUCAAUGCUGAAAUCAGCGGAAGGGGAGAUCAGAAAAGAACAUCAAGUGUUGAUGGUGAAUAAAACCACCAAGUUCAAGAAGGGCAAGGGUAAGAAGAACUUCAAGAAGGACGGCAAGGGAGUUGCCGCGCCCGGUAAGCCAGUUACUGGGAAGAAGUCAAAGAAUGGACCCAAGCCCGGGACUGAGUGCUUUUAUUGCAAGGGAAGUGGUCACUGGAAGCGGAACUGCCCCAAAUAUUUAGCGGACAAGAAGAAGGCCGGCAACACCCAAGGUAUAUGUGAUAUACAAGUAAUUGAUGUGUACCUUACCAGUACUCGUAGUAGCUCCUGGGUAUUUGAUACCGGUGCGGUUGCUCAUAUUUGUAACUCAAAUCAGGAACUACGGAAUAAACGGAGACUGGCAGAGGACGAGGUGACGAUGCGCGUCGGGAAUGGUUCCAAGGUCGAUGUGAUCGCCGUCGGCACGCUACCUCUGCAUCUACCCACGGGAUUAGUUAUAAACCUCAAUAAUUGUUAUUUAGUGCCAGCUUUGAGCAUGAACAUUGUGUCUGGAUCUCGUUUAAUUCGAGAUGGCUACUCAUUUAAAUCCGAGAAUAAUGGUUGUUCUAUUUAUUUGAGAGAGAUGUUUUAUGGUCAUGCCCCGCUGGUCAAUGGUUUAUUUUUGAUGAAUCUCGAACAUGAUGUUACACAUGUUCAUAGUGUGAAUACCAAAAGAUGUAAAGUUGAUAACGAUAGUCCCACAUACUUGUGGCACUGCCGGCUUGGUCACAUUGGUGUCAAGCGCAUGAAGAAGCUCCAUGCAGAUGGACUUUUGGAGUCUCUUGAUUACGAAUCAUUUGACACGUGCGAACCAUGCCUUAUGGGUAAGAUGGCCAAGACUCCGUUCUCCGGAACAAUGGAGCGAGCAACCAACUUAUUGGAAAUCAUACAUACCGAUGUGUGUGGUCCAAUGAGUGUUGAGGCUCGCGGAGGAUAUCGUUAUGUUCUCACUCUCACUGAUGAUUUAAGUAGAUAUGGAUAUGUCUACCUGAUGAAACACAAGUCUGAAACCUUUGAAAAGUUCAAGGAAUUUCAGAGUGAGGUUGAGAAUCAACGUGACAGGAAAAUAAAAUUCUUACGAUCAUAUCGUGGUGGAGAAUAUUUAAGUCACGAAUUUGGUACACACUUAAGGAAAUGUGGAAUAGUUUCACAACUCACGCCGCCUGGAACACCUCAAAGAAAUGGUGUGUCCGAACGUCGUAAUCGCACUCUAUUGGAUAUGGUGCGAUCUAUGAUGUCUCUUACCGAUUUACCGCUCUCAUUUUGGGGUUAUGCUUUAGAGACUGCCGCAUUCACUUUAAAUAGGGCACCGUCGAAAUCCGUUGAAACGACACCGUAUGAAUUAUGGUUUGGGAAGAAACCUAAGCUGUCGUUUCUAAAAGUUUGGGGAUGCGAUGCUUAUGUCAAGAAACUUCAACCUGAAAAGCUCGAACACAAAUCGGAAAAAUGCGUCUUCAUAGGAUACCCUAAGGAAACUAUUGGGUAUACCUUCUACCUCAGAUCCGAAGGCAAGAUCUUCGUUGCCAAGAACGGGUCCUUUCUAGAGAAGGAGUUUCUCUCGAAAGAAUUGAGUGGGAGGAAAGUGGAACUUGAUGAGGUGAUAGUCACCCCUUCCGAACCGGAAAGUAGCGCAACGCGGGAAAAUGUUCCUGUGGUGCCUACACCGACUGAGGAGGAAGUUAAUGAUGAUGAUCAUGAAGCUUCGGAUCAAGUUGCCACUGAACUUCGUAGGUCCACAAGGACACGUUUCGCACCAGAGUGGUACGGCAACCCUGUCCUGGAAAUCAUGUUGUUAGACAACGGUGAACCUUCGAACUAUGAAGAAGCGAUGGCGGGCCCGGAUUCCGACAAAUGGCUAGAAGCCAUGAAAUCCGAGAUAGAAUCCAUGUAUGAAAACAAAGUAUGGACUUUGACUGACUUGCCCGAUGAGCGGCGAGCCAUAGAAAACAAAUGGAUCUUUAAGAAGAAGACGGACGCAGAUGGUAAUGUGACCAUCUACAAAGCUCGACUUGUCGCUAAGGGUUAUCGACAAGUUCAAGGGGUUGACUACGAUGAGACUUUCUCGCCCAUAGCGAAGCUGAAGUCCGUCCGAAUAAUGUUAGCAAUUGCCGCAUACUAUGAUUAUGAGAUAUGGCAGAUGGACGUCAAAACGGCAUUCCUUAACGGCUUCCUUAAGGAAGAGUUGUAUAUGAUGCAGCCGGAAGGUUUUGUCGAUCCUAAGAAUGCUAACAAAGUGUGCAAGCUCCAGCGCUCAAUCUAUGGGCUGGUGCAAGCAUCUCGGAGUUGGAACAUUCGCUUUGAUGAGAUGAUCAAAGCGUUUGGGUUUACACAGACUUAUGGAGAAGCCUGUGUUUACAAGAAAGUGAGUGGGAGCUCUGUAGCAUUUCUCAUAUUAUAUGUGGAUGACAUAUUAUUGAUGGGAAAUGAUAUAGAAUUCUUGGAAAGUAUAAAGGCCUAUUUGAAUAAGUGUUUUUCAAUGAAGGACCUUGGAGAAGCUGCUUACAUAUUAGGCAUCAAGAUCUAUAGAGAUAGAUCAAGACGCCUCAUUGGUCUUUCACAGAGUACAUACCUUGACAAGAUAUUGAAGAAGUUCAGUAUGGAUUAGUCCAAGAAGGGGUUCUUGCCUGUAUUGCAAGGUGUGCAAUUGAGCACGGCUCAAUGCCCGACCACGGCAGAAGAUAUAGAAGAGAUGAGUGUCAUCCCCUAUGCCUCGGCCAUAGGGUCUAUUAUGUAUGCCAUGCUGUGUACCAGACCUGAUGUAAACCUUGCCGUAAGUUUGGUAGGAAGGUACCAAAGUAAUCCCGGCAAGGAACACUGGACAGCGGUCAAGAAUAUCCUGAAGUACCUGAAGAGGACUAAGGAUAUGUUUCUCGUUUAUGGAGGUGACGAAGAGCUCGUCGUAAAGGGUUACGUCGACGCUAGCUUCGACACAGAUCCGGAUGACUCGAAGUCACAGACCGGAUACGUGUAUAUUUUGAAUAGAGGAGCAGUAAGCUGGUGCAGUUGCAAGCAAAGCGUCGUGGCGGGAUCUACAUGUGAAGCGGAAUACAUGGCAGCCUCGGAGGCAGCACAGGAAGCAGUCUGGAUGAAGGAGUUCAUUACCGACCUAGGGGUGAUUCCCAAUGCGUCGGGCCCGAUGACUCUCUUCUGUGACAAUACUGGAGCUAUUGCCCUUGCGAAGGAGCCCAGGUUUCACAGGAAGACCAGGCAUAUCAAGCGUCGCUUCAACUCCAUUCGUGAAAGUGUUCAAAAUGGAGACAUAGAUAUUUGUAAAGUACACACGGACCUGAAUGUAGCAGAUCUGUUGACUAAACCUCUCCCUAGGGCAAAACAUGAUCAACACCAGGACGCAAUGGGUGUUCGAUUCAUCACAAUGUAACUAGAUUAUUGACUCUAGUGCAAGUGGGAGACUGUUGGAAAUAUGCCCUAGAGGCAAUAAUAAAUGGUUAUUAUUAUAUUUCUGUGUUCAUGAUAAUAGUCUAUUAUUCAUGCUAUAAGUGUAUUGUCCGGAAAUCGUAAUACAUGUGUGAAUACAUAGACCACAACCUGUCCCUAGUAAGCCUCUAGUUGACUAGCUCGUUGAUCAACAGAUAGUCAUGGUUUCCUGACUAUGGACAUAGGAUGUCAUUGAUAACGGGAUCACAUCAUUAGGAGAAUGAUGUGAUGGACAAGACCCAACUUAAGCAUAGCAUAAAAGAUCGUGUAGUUUCGUUUGCUAGAGCUUUUCCAAUGUCAAGUAUCUUUUUCUUAGACCAUGAGAUCGUGCAACUCCUGGAUACCGUAGGAGUGCUUUGGGUGUGCCAAACGUCACAACGUAACUGGGUGACUAUAAAGGUGCAUUACGGGUAUCUCCGAAAGUGUCUGUUGGGUUGGCACGGAUCGAGACUGGGAUUUGUCACUCCGUGUGACGGAGAGGUAUCUCUGGGCCCACUCGGUAAUGCAUCAUCAUAAUGAGCUCAAUGUGACUAAGGCGUUAGUCACGGGAUCAUGCAUUGCGGUACGAGUAAAGAGACUUGCCGGUAACGAGAUUGAACUAGGUAUUGGGAUACCGACGAUCGAAUCUCGGGCAAGUAACAUACCGAUUGACAAAGGGAAUUGCAUACGGAUUGAUUGAAUCCUCGACACCGUGGUUCACCCGAUGAUAUCAUCGUGGAACAUGUGGGAGCCAACAUGGGUAUCCAGAUCCUGCUGUUGGUUAUUGACCGGAGAGGCGUCUCGGUCAUGUCUGCAUGUCUCCCGAACCCGUAGGGUCUACACACUUAAGGUCCGGUGACGCUAGGGUUGUAGAGAUACAUGUAUGCGGAAACCCGAAAGUUGUUCGGAGUCCCGGAUGAGAUCCCGGAUGUCACGAGAGGUUCCGGAAUGGUCCGGAGGUGAAGAAUUAUAGGAAGUCCAGUUUCGGCCACCGGGAAAGUUUCGGGGGUUAUCGGUAUUGUACCGGGACCACCGGAAGGGUCCCGGGGGUCCACCGGGUGGGGCCACCUGUCCCGGAGGGCCCCGUGGGCUGAAAGUGGAGGGGAACCAGCCCCUAGUGGGCUGGGGCGCCCCCUUGGGCCUCCCCCCCAUGCGCCUAGGGUUGGGAACCCUAGGGGGGGGNNNNNNNNNNNNNNNNNNNNNNNNNNNNNNNNNNNNNNNNNNNNNNNNNNNNNNNNNNNNNNNNNNNNNNNNNNNNNNNNNNNNNNNNNNNNNNNNNNNNNNNNNNNNNNNNNNNNNNNNNNNNNNNNNNNNNNNNNNNNNNNNNCACCCCCCCAGGGGCCUAUAUAAAGGGGGGGGAGGGAGGGCAGUACACUACAGCCUUUGGCGCCUCCCUCCUCCCCUGCAACAUCUCUCUCUCUCUCGCAGAAGCUCGGCGAAGUCCUGCCGGAGAGCCGCUACAUCCACCACCACGUCGUCGUGCUGUUGGAUCUCCAUCAACCUCUCCUUCCCCCUUGCUGGAUCAAGAAAGGAGGAGACGUCGCUGCACAGUACGUGUGUUGAACGCGGAGGUGCUGUACGUUCGGCACUCGGUCAUCGGUGAUUUGGAUCACGGCGAGUACGACUGCGUCAUCCACGUUCAUUGGAACGCUUCCGCUCACGAUCUACAACGGUAUGUAGAUGCACUCCCUUCCCCUCGUUGCUAGUAGACUCCAUAGAUGCAUCUUGGUGAGCGUAAGAAAAUUUUAAAAUUAUGCUACGAUUCCUAACACUGCGAUCAGAACCUAAACAGGAAUGCAACAAAUUUGGUUACUGUGGUCCAUUCGGUUACUGCGACAACACGCAGCCUAUUGCGACAUGCAAGUGUAUUGAUGGCUUUGAGCCAAACAACAAGCAAGACUGGACGGCCCACAGGUUUUCACAGGGAUGCCACCGGAUGGAAGCAUUAAGAUGUGGUCAGCGGGAUGGCUUCUUAAAUUUGCCAAGCAUGAAGGUUCCCCACGAGUCCUUGCAUGUUAAGAAUAUAAGCUUAGAUGAAUGCAUAGCAGAAUGCACCAGCAACUGCUCCUGCACGGCGUAUGCUUUCGCCAAUACGAGCACCAAGGACAUCAAUGGGGAUGAAACUAGGUGCCUAUUAUGGAACGGAGAUUUGAUUGACACAGAGAAGCUCAUUGGACAAGGGCAAAACCUCUAUAUCCGGGUUAAUGGAUUGAGUGGUACAGUCUACUGUCUCUGCUUCUCUGCUUGCGUUAGUAGAUAUACCCUCUAUUUUAUGGGUCCAAUGGAGCUCCAGUAAUAUCUCCCUUAGUACUAUUUACAAUGUCAGUACAAGUAAGGUUUAAAUUAGUAGUGGCGGGAAAAGAUUAGAGGGUAAAGAAUUGAUAAUGCCAUGAUGGAACAGUUUGGCGCAGCAUAUAUGCUGUCUGUGAAUCACUACAAUAUUUUUAAUACGAAAACAUAACAGUUUAUCCAAUUGGAGGGUGCAGAUUAGCAGCAACUUGGAUGCAGAAUGAAAAUAUGAGCCUGCAGGAGUUGGCAAUACUGCAUAAUUUAUCAAGGAACAACUUCUAAUACAUGUUUCAGACAUCUGAGGUGGCUGGAAACAUUUGGCCAGCAGCCAACAUAGUAGUUCCAAAGUCUAUAUAUAUCCAAUCUCAGUCAAUGUAUAGGAAGUGAGCCUAGCUCAUAUGGGCGGGAGAGUGAAUGUACAGUCCCACCGCCCUCGUCCGAGUCCUGUUUUAUUGGACUUGAAUUUGGGUUACUAUCUAUUUCCUAUUAAUAGAAAAUGUAGUUGCUCCUACAAGUUCAUACAAUCCAAGUCAAUAUACAAGAUAUACAUACCUAUAGAAGGAAACCUUCAAGUUUUGGCAUAAGUUGUCUAUGCCAUCUGAUUAUAUUGUAUAAAAAAAUUGGGAAUGACAACCACUCCAUCCAGUUCAACAUAACAUGUUGUGUGAGAUUUUAAUUUGAAGUGUCAAGCAGAAGUUUUGUAUGUCCAAAAUGUUACCAUACUCGUGAUGCAAAUGUUCAUGUGAAACAAAUAGAUUGCUUGAGAGUGAGACAAUGUGCAGGUAGUUCUACUUGCAAGAAGUAUUUGGCUUGAGAAACUAACUAUUUAGAAAAUCUUUAAAUCAUAAUUGCUCACAGAUUGAAUUUUGGCAGAUAAAAAGCGGAAGAGCACUGUUUUAAAAAUUACACUGCCAGUCGUAACAAGCUUGCUCAUAAUCAUAUGGGUGUGCCUUGUUUGGAUCUGCUGCUUGGGAGGUAGAACACAGUUCCAUACUUUUCUCCGUGUAUUUCCCUAGAGCAUGAUUGUGCAGGCCAAUGCUAUUCCAUAUUUCUAUGUGCUAUGUUCCUUUAUUAUAAUGUUUGCAUCAAUGUUCCUGAUAGGCAAACAAAGAGACAAGAAAAUUUGGAAGAAGCUGAUGUCAGGAACUUCGAGCACUUCAGUUGAACUUUGCGACGGAAACUUAAAGUAUCAUUCUAUUAGCUUCAAAGAAAUUGUACUUGCAACAAACAAUUUCUCUAACUCCGACAAGCUUGGACAUGGAGGUUUUGGCAAUGUUUACAAGGUAACGUGAAUUUUUAUCUUAUCGAGCAACAUAACUGUAUUUCCAUCUUGUUUGACCUAAAAAUGGAUGUGUCCAGGGAACGUUAGAAGAUGGUACAGAAAUUGCUGUGAAAAGGCUUAGGAAGGGUUCUGGCCAGGGGGUACUGGAGUUCAGAAAUGAAGUACUACUCAUUGCAAAGUUGCAGCAUAAAAACUUGGUUAGACUUCUCGGUUUCUGCAUCCAUGGAGAUGAGAAACUAUUAAUAUAUGAAUACUUACCUAACAGAAGUCUCGGCUUCUCGGCUUCUGUAGUGCCAUGCUUUUCGGUAUGUUCUGCUUACGUAUUGCCAAUUUCAGUAAGUCAUGAAAUCAACCAGAAUAACUGAUGCCAUCCCUCAAUUGAUGCUAUUGGUAGCAGAUGCCACAAGAAAAUCAAUGCUUAAUUGGCCAACAAGAUUCGAGAUAAUCAAAGGUGUAGCUAGAGGACUUCUUUAUCUUCAUCAAGAUUCAAGGUUGAAGAUAAUUCACAGGGAUCUCAAAGCAAGCAAUAUAUUAUUAGAUGCUGAAAUAAGCCCUAAGAUAUCUGAUUUUGGUAUAGCAAGGAUAUUUGGUGGCGAUCAGCAGCAAGAAAAUACCAACCGCGUUGUUGGCACAUAGUGAGUGAUAUACUGCAUGAGUGAUCUUUAUACAUUAUUCUUGUGUUUGACCAAAAUUAUGUUAUGUUCUCCUAACUGGGACAUUCUUGAAACAGCGGUUACAUGUCACCUGAAUAUGCUUUGAACGGAGUGUUCUCUGUCAAGUCUGAUGUAUACAGCUUUGGAGUUUUACUACUAGAGAUUGUGAGUGGCUCAAAGACCAGCUCUGUGCACCUAAAAGCAGACUUCCCAAGCAUUAUAGCCUCUGUAAGUACAAUGACAUGUUCGAAUUUCUGCAAGUAUAGUAAAUAUAUGCAUCUUUGAAGGGAUGAGAUAUGAUGAAUGCAGGCAUGGAGCUUAUGGAAGGAUGGGAACAUAAAGGAUUUUGUUGACUCGUCAAUGGUGGCGAGUUGUUCACCUGAUGAAACUGUACGGUGCAUCCAUAUAUAUUGGACUUUUGUGUGUUCAAGACAGCCCAAAUGCGCGGCCACUCGUGUCAUCAAUCGUGUCCUUUCUGGAGAAUGGAGAUAUAUCACUUCCACCUCCAAAAGAGUCUGUGUAUUUUGCUGAAAACAACAAUGGAAAUGAUGGAGCAGCAGAAAAUACUGUAAAUUCUGCAAAUAACAUGAGCAUUACAGUGGUAGAGGGACGCUAGUACUUAGCAGUCCAAUCUCUGUAUAUGCUGUGGGUACUUUUUACAACUGUAUACUGGAUAAGAAACUGGUAUUUUUGCAUUGAAGAACAAGAAGCUUUGUUUUAAUAUAGAGAAUGUAUUUCAUGUCCGGUAGCUCCAGCAAAUGGCGGAGAUCUAAAUGUUCGUAUUAAAGCAAAGUUAAAAAAGGCACGCCUAAGCGAGCGCUUAAGUGCGCCUAGGCUCUAGGCGCUAGCAAAACGCCAGCGCAUAACUGCGCUUAAUCUGCGCAUAAGCAUGCGCUUUGGUCAGAAAAGGGCAAGGCGGUGACAAAACGUACAAUUAACGUCUAGCGCUUUUUUGAACUAUGUAUUAAAGACCCUUCUCACCAAGAAUUUUGGAUGCAUAAAAGAAGGCAAGUUAACCAGUUAAAUUUUGUAUGCUUAAAAAAAGGUAGUAUAACUAUACAAGUGUAUAACCAAAUUUUGUUAUACUUAGAGAACGGGUACCACGCGCGGCCUCCCGGUCUGCCAUACUAUUUGUUAUAUGAACUAACAAUUAUCUACUAUCUAACACCAAGCCGAUUUUUUUUCUUAAUCUAGGCCAAUUGUUAUUUCGAUUGAGUAGAAUGUAUAUAUCUUAAUUUCGCAUGCAAUAUGUCUGUUAGUUACUAUGGAGUUUUUUUAUAAGCACGAGCAUUAAUCAGAUAGGUCACUUUAUUGUGUCAGACUAAACAACAUGUGUGAAGUUUGACAGAAAUCAUGUAGAAAAGCAACUUCAAAUCACAUUAGAAAAUAUACAAACGCUUAACUAGAAAAAAAAAAAGACAUCCUGUCGCACUGAUUGAAAGUGCGUAAAGUAUACUGUAAUAUAAGCCUUAACCAAACCAGUGCCAUCUGACCAGCAAUAAGAAACUUAUGUAGGAGAAUGUGAUGAACAACACUAAGAUUAUCCGUCACCUCUUUAUCGGGUUAAGCACUCUGCCGUCCCUCCUGUCCCCAUGCUUCAGCGUGCAACACACUUAUGGAGCUCUCUCCCUCUCCCUCUGUCUCUCUCUCUUCUUUCAAGGGAUUGAAAAUUGAAAAACAGGCCAGCAGCUGGUUUCUUCUUGCAGGCAUUUUCACAAACACCUUGUGCCCACUCUAGCUCGCUGCUCACGGUCACCAUCAUGCCAAAGGCACCACGACUCGCUCGUAGCAAAGUUCCAACCAAACGGCAUAUGGGCUCCGCUAAUCCACAUCGAAUAGGCUGUGAGAAAGAGUUAAUUGCAUAAAACCAUCACAUUUGGGACAUCGUUUGCAGAAAAUCACAAGGUUAUUAAUUUUUUGCAAAAACACCGCACAUUCAGUAAACUUUUUGUAAAAAGCAUUGAUCGAGUGAUUUAGGUCGUUUGAUCACUUUCUGACCAGUGGGGCCGAAUUGUCAGGAACUGACUUAGCAAAACAUUUACAUAUACACCCUUAGAUCUUAAAACAAAAAGCAAUCAACCCCUUCUCCCUCCCUCGCGGACAGAAGCUCACGUGCAGCGUCCACGGCGUGGACUUCGCGGAGGCAGCCGCCGGGAGCUCUGCCUUCAAGCCACGGCGGCGCCGGCCGGGAUGCCGUGGCCGCGCCUCGGCCGUCUGCCGGAGAUGCCCAGCGCCGCUCGACGCCGUGGAUGGGGGCCAACCUCCAUGCGCGUUCCUAGGGUCAUCUGUUGUGUUGGAGGAGCUCGCUCCCGUGGAUGCACGCGCCCAGGUGCCACCGGAGACUCGUCGGAUGUGACGCAGCUGCGAGUUCGUCGGCUGCUCGUGGGCAGGGGCGAGGCACUUCGAGCACGUCGGCACCCCCGUGGACAGGGAGGCGCCGGCGGCGAGGUCCGCGUGGAUUGGGGUGGCAGAUGCUCGGCGGAUCGAUCGAUCCACUCGAUCUCUGGAGCUUGGCGGCCGGACUUGAAGCGGAUACGAAGGCAGGCGGCGUAGGGGCGACUAAGGACGCCCGGAUCCGAUUGAUGGAGGCGGUUGGCGGAGCUCCGGCCCCGGCGGGGGUCCUUGGAUGUGGCCAUGAGCAAGGAACCACCGGCAACAAGCUCCUCUGUACACGCCGGCCAUGAGCUCGUACAGGUGGUUGGUGGCUCCCGUGUACACGGGUGAAGGAGAAGAUAACCUUAUCCUUUGAAUAUUUUACUUUUUCAUCCAUCACUUUUCUCUUAUUUACGGGAAAGCCCCGCUGUUCGUGUUUUUUUUACCAAAUCAGCUUCUUAUAUCGGGCCCCACUGUCAGAAAGCGAUCAAACUAGCUAAAUCCCCCUAUUAGUGCUUUUUGUAAAAGGUUUACUGAAUACGCGGUGGUUUUUGCAAAAAAUUAGUGACCUCGUGAUUUUCUAGAAACGAUGCCCCAAAUGUGAUGGUUUUUAUGCAAUUAACUCUCUGAGAAACAACUAGGUCCAUUCAUAAUUAAAGCCCUAAUUGAAUUGGCAUUUCAUGGCGCAAUACCCCUGUAAAAUAUAGACCUUUGUCGGUCGUUUUUAUUACCAGCACAAAAUCAAGUGUGGUAUGUAUUAUACACCUGUAAAAUAAAUACAGGUGUAUAAAAAUACCCCAUGCCAAGCGCGGCCUAAAGCGCGCACCUCUGAAGCUCUCGC